GGGGAAGAAUCUCUUUCUGGAGAUCCCUCCUUUUAGAGUUUUCUACUGAGAGCCUAGAAUAUGGGUGAGUUUUUUUUUUUUAUUAUUGUCUCUUUCCACCAUGAUUAUCUUUCUAACUAUAAAGCCUGUAAAAUACCCUCCUAAAUUCAUCACUCUACAAACUGUAUGUUUGUUAAUUGUACACCUUGUCAUACAGGACAGGUUUGGAUCCAGUCUACUGAGUACUAUCAUUCCUAGUCUGAAAAGCCUGUCCUGGGAUAAAAGGGUUUUAAAUCAAUAAUUCCAGAGUUGUUGGCUUUUAGCAAUUGUGCUUGGGGGGGGAAAAAAAGAAAGAAAGAAAGAGCAAUCCACAUUGGGUAGGUGGAUCCACACCAUCCUCUUUUGCUGGAAGGGAAUACUGGAGUCUGAAGGAGUUGCUGGAGUUUUGUACACACAGGUCACUUAGCUCCUAGAAACCUUGAAUUACCGUGGCCUGGUUGAGAGUGUGGGUAGAUGCUGAAAUCGGUGCACUGCCUGACAGCCCAGCAUUAGCAUCUGUGAAUCCAUUGGGAAUGAGGCUUCAUGCAGCAAAAAUCCAGAAUCACUAAGCUGGCUGCAUGUACAACUUUAGAUUCAAUCAAAGGGUAGUCAGCCGUGGCUCCACGUGACUCAGGUUUCAGGGAGAGGCUCUCCCUUGGGCAUGGCACAAGCUCACUGAAGUCCCAGUAUCUCUGGCCAAGUCAUGGAUAGACUUGUCUCUUCCUGCUCAAGGCAAUGGAGUACUAUGUGCUGAGGUACUUCCAAGAGACAUUCUGACCCACUGCUGCUUGGCUGCAGGUGUUCUGGCAUUUGGACAAAGGCAGUUGUGAACUUGUUUCUGAAGCAGAACAUCUUAAUACUCACAAUGGACCAUAUUCCCCAUAGGAAUCCACUGAAUAUUGUGCCUUCAGGAGGGAUUAACACUCACUAAUCCUCCAUUCAGGACAAAAAAAAAGUCUUAGGUGUUUGCCAAGGACCUAUAAGCCAGUUUCUUUUCCUUUUUUUUUUUUCCCCUCAUCUUUUUUAAACAAAUAAAUCCUCCCCAAAAUUAUGAAAGCAGAUCCAAGCAAUCGCAGUGACUCAGCUGUAGAGCUACAAGCAGUUCACGUUGCAGAUUAAAUCUGUGGUAGGUAAUAUCAUUUUGCUGUGCAGUGAAAAUGAAAAAUGACUCCUUCCGUAUUUGCUGUGUGCAAAGUGCCAUAUGCAAAGUUUUAUACCAAGCCAGAGCAGUUUCUAGAAGAGGAAAGAGAGGAAGUGACAUCUUCAGAUAGUUUAAGAGACCACUCCCACCUAUGCAUUGCUUUAACAGUGGAGUGGUCUGGGCUGGGUGUAUCAGCAGAGAGAAAAAAGAAGAUAUUCCCAAAAUAAGUAAAUUACAGGUCAUUCGUUCACAGCUGGAUGUUGCAGGGACUGGGAUUUUAUUUCUUAUCAAAACUGUGAUAUUUCUUGACUGGAAAUAAAACCAACAUAAUUUUUUUUUUUAACUGAACCUCAAGCGGAGUGACCAAAACUGCAGCUGCUGCUCCUGUGCAGUAAAGUAUUGAAGAGUUAACAAAAGGUUUAAACUGAUUAAGUGCUAGCACAGAGUACUGAAUUCCAAAUACCAGUAUGUUAAUUAAAAUAUUACGUUUACCGUUAUUGCUUGCAAGUUUGAUUGCUUUUGUAAUUGAAUCUAGUGAUAUUUCUUCUUUGGUUAUGGGACAAAAUAGAUAGGAGAGUCUAGUCUGCUCUGUAUCUCUGUUUUAUGUACCGUACUGCUCUCCUUAUAAGUCAUCUGUCCCAGCAGUACGUAAAUGGUAUCACUUUGUUGUCCAGAUUCUGACUUUUUCCCGGGGAUACAAAGCAAUGUCUGCUUGAAUUCCUGGUUCAUUUUGAAAUCAAAGGCAGAAUUGACAGCAGGAAAGCUGGAGCUCCUUCAUAGCCUCAAAGCUUCUCCCUGCUACCCAGCUGUUGCUUUGUUUGCCCCCUCUUUUAACAUACCCUCUUUUUACUGUGUUCUUUUGGGAUGAGGUCAAGAGUCAACUUUAUCCACACUGGAAGUACCAUCUGCCGAUUUUCCUG
Molecule: long non-coding RNA, 2079 nt
Filed under: Gallus gallus (chicken)
Lineage: Eukaryota; Metazoa; Chordata; Aves; Galliformes; Phasianidae
Description: lncRNA (ENSGALG00010020052.1)
Source: RNAcentral